RNAcentral lists this transfer RNA (72 nucleotides) under Phrynosoma platyrhinos (Desert horned lizard). Its description in RNAcentral is "tRNA-OTHER". The record is from RNAcentral. Lineage: Eukaryota; Metazoa; Chordata; Lepidosauria; Squamata; Phrynosomatidae.
GGUAGCAUGGUGUAGUGGUUUGAAUGUUGGACUAUGACUCUGGAAACCAGAGUUCGAUUCCCUGCUCAGCCA